Molecule: long non-coding RNA, 219 nt
Organism: Amblyraja radiata (thorny skate)
Lineage: Eukaryota; Metazoa; Chordata; Chondrichthyes; Rajiformes; Rajidae
Exons: 2
Source: RefSeq, a predicted model, not a curated record
AGAAAAUAGGUGCAGGAGGAGGCCAUUUGGCCCUUCGAGCCUGCACUGCCAUUCAUUGUGAUCAUGGCUGAUCAUCCACAAUCAGUAACCCGUGCCAGACAACAGUAAGAGGUAUAUGACUGGAGCUGCAAGCACAAAGACAAACUGAACUCACCACGUUAUCACAUCCGUUGGACUUCAGACUGGACCUUUCAGGGGGAUCAAGCUUUGGCAAAGUGG